Molecule: non-coding RNA, 135 nt
Organism: Triticum aestivum (bread wheat)
Lineage: Eukaryota; Viridiplantae; Streptophyta; Magnoliopsida; Poales; Poaceae
Source: Rfam
CAAAUACUCCCUCCGUCCGGAUAUACUUGUCAUAAAAAUGGAUAAAAGGAAAUGUAUCUAGACGUAUUUUAGUUUUAGAUACAUCUCUUUUUAUCCAUUUUGAUGACAAGUAUUUUCGGACAGAGGGAGUAGAAA